Molecule: non-coding RNA, 30 nt
Filed under: Homo sapiens (human)
Lineage: Eukaryota; Metazoa; Chordata; Mammalia; Primates; Hominidae
Source: RNAcentral
GUGACCUUCCUAUUCUUGAUCACAGCCCCC